UACGUAGGGUGCAAGCGUUAAUCGGAAUUACUGGGCGUAAAGCGUGCGCAGGCGGUUUUGUAAGUCUGUCGUGAAAUCCCCGGGCUCAACCUGGGAAUUGCGAUGGAGACUGCAAGGCUAGAAUCUGGCAGAGGGGGGUAGAAUUCCACGUGUAGCAGUGAAAUGCGUAGAGAUGUGGAGGAACACCGAUGGCGAAGGCAGCCCCUGGGUCAAGAUUGACGCUCAUGCACGAAAGCGUGGGGAGCAAACAGGAUUAGAUACCCGUGUAGU
Molecule: ribosomal RNA, 270 nt
Filed under: uncultured bacterium
Lineage: Bacteria
Description: partial 16S ribosomal RNA
Rfam family: Bacterial small subunit ribosomal RNA
Source: RNAcentral